Panicum virgatum (switchgrass) is the source of this 413-nucleotide long non-coding RNA. RefSeq lists it as uncharacterized. NCBI's taxonomy places the organism in Eukaryota, Viridiplantae, Streptophyta, Magnoliopsida, Poales, Poaceae. The transcript has 3 exons. The record is from RefSeq and is a predicted model, not a curated record.
CGGGUACUGGUGCCGCCCGCGGCCGGUUGCUGGCCAACCCCUGCGUGUCCCCGCAUUCAACGCGACACCGCUUAGUGCUCCCGUCGUUGUUCCACGAGACCGAUCCGUCCUCCCGUCGCCGUCGAUCCUCCUCAGCCUGCCUUCGGAUCAGAAAGAUUUACUCUAGCUCCUGGGUGGCGACGCUCAAUCUGAUGAAUCGCUGGGAACCCCCGCUGGCUCAAGGUUUUCUAUCCGUCCACUUACCUCUCCCACUGGUGUGCACGGCGAGUGCGACGGCAACCAGGUUUUCUAUCCGUCCACUUACCUCUCCCACUGGCGUGCAUGGCGAGUGCGACGGCAACAGCCAGUGGCCACUGGUGGCUAAAGCUGCCUUGAUGCAUGUGUUAUGGAAGAUGAAACGAGAGGCAGCGGAG